CCAAGGGCGUACGGUGAAUGCCUUGGUGCCGACAGGCGAAGAAGGACGCGAUAAGCUGCGAAAAGCCUCGGGGAGCUGCAAAUGAGCUACGAUCCGGGGGUAUCCGAAUGGGGUAACCUAACCGGGGGAAAGCCCGGUUGACGUUGUCUGAAUACAUAGGACAACGAUCGCGAGACCCGCUGAAGUGAAACAUCUCAGUAAGCGGAGGAAAAGAAAGAGAAAUCGAUUCCGUAAGUAGUGGCGAGCGAAAGCGGAAGAGCCCAAACCGAAAGUACUUCUUUCGGGGUUGUAGGACCACGCCAUGAUCGAUCAUGAAAGAUAGCAGAACAGUUUGGAAAGACUGGCCGGAGAGAGUGAAAGCCUCGUAAGCGAAAUCUUUUGUGAGAUCUAGUGGACUCCUGAGUAAUACACCACACGUGGAACGGUGUAUGAAUCCGCGCGGACCACCGCGCAAGGCUAAAUACUAGUCGGCGACCGAUAGUGAACAAGUACCGCGAGGGAAAGGUGAAAAGAACCGCUGUGAGCGGAGUGAAAUAGAACCUGAAACCGUAUGUCUACAAAGUGUCAGAGCAGCGCAAGCUGCGAUGGCGUGCCUUUUGUUUAAUGAGUCUGCGAGUCAGUGUCUGUGGCAAGACUAAGGGCUUCCGGCCCGGAGUCGAAGCGAAAGCAAGUCCGAACAGGGCGGUUUUUAGUCGCAGGUACUGGACCCGAAGCGGAGGUGACCUACCCUUGGCCAGGUUGAAGCGUCGGUAAAACGCCGUGGAGGACCGAACAGGUGAACGUUGAAAAGUUCUCUGAUGAGCUGAGGGUAGGAGUGAAAGGCUAAUCAAACCCCGUGAUAGCUGGUUCUCUUCGAAAUGCAUUUAGGUGCAGCGUUACGUGCUGAUGUGCGGGGGUAGAGCACUGACAAGGCUAGGGGGCACACCCGCCUACCAACCCUUAUCAAACUCCGAAUACCGCACAAUGGAGCGUAGCAGUGAGACAGUGGGGGAUAAGCUUCAUUGUCGAGAGGGAAACAACCCAGACCAGCAGCUAAGGUGCCCAAACAACGUUGAGUGGAAAGGAUGUGGGAUUACACAGACAGUGAGGAUGUUGGCUUAGAAGCAGCCACCAUUUAAAAAAUGCGUAAUAGCUUACUCAUCGAGUGAUCCUGCGCCGAAAAUGAUUGGCGAUGAAACGUUGUACCGAAGCUCUGGAUUUCUCCUGCAAGGGAGGAGUGGUAGAAGAGCGUUCCGUGUACGUUGAAGGGCGAUGGCGACUGACCCUGGAGAGCACGGAAGUGAGUAUGCAGACAUGAGUAACGUUAAGCCGGGUGAAAUCCCCGGCCGCCGUAAACCCGAGGUUUCCAGGGCAACGAGAUUCGUCCCUGGGUUAGCCGGGACCUAAGCCGAGGCCGAGAGGCGUAGGCGAUGGACAUCAGGUUAAUAAUCCUGAGCUUCCGACCCUUAAACUGGGGGGACGCAUGAGUAGAGAUGGACAGGUUAUUGAAUUCCGAGGCCGGUUUACGGACUGGCCGCACCAUCAAAGCGAGUGCCAAGAAAAGCCCCAGCGUAUGCUAAGGAACCCGUACCGCAAACCGACACAGGUGGGUGGGUAGAAUAUACCAAGGCGCAAGAGUGAACUCUGGUUAAGGAACUCGGCAAAUUAGCCCCGUAACUUCGGAAGAAGGGGUGCCUGCAGAGAUGCAGGCCGCAGAGAAAUGGCCCAACCGACUGUUUAUCAAAAACACAGCACUCUGCAAAGACGCAAGUCGAAGUAUAGGGUGUGACACGUGACCAAUGCCGAAAGAUUAAGGCAAGGUGUUAGCCGCAAGGCGAAGCUCUGAACCCAAGUCCCGGUGAAUGUCGGCCGUAACUAUAACGGUCCUAAGGUAGCGAAAUUCCUUGUCGGGUAAGUUCCGACCUGCACGAAUCGUGAAACGAGUUGGGCACUGUCUCAACCAGACGCUCAGUGAAAUUGUAGUGGCGGUGAAGAUGCCGCCUACCCGCAGAAGGACGGAAAGACCCUAUAGACCUUAACUGUAAGCUGUCAUUGUUUCUUCGGUCUCAAUGCUCAGAGUAAGUGGGAGACGUUGAAGCCGGCCUUUAGGGGCCGGAAGAGUCAUCAAUGAGACACCACCCUUUGAGACUGGAGAAUCUAACGCUGAGCCGUGAAACCGGCCAGGGGACCGUGUCAGCCGGUCAGUUUUACUGGGGCGGUAUCCUCCCAAAGAGUAACGGAGGAGCGCGAAGGUUGGUUCAGCGCGGUUGGCAACCGCGUGACGAGUGCAUGGGCAUAAACCAGCCUAACUGUGAGACCGACAAGUCGAUCAGAUGCGAAAGCAGGCCCAAGUGAUCCGGCGGUAGAAAGUGGAAUUGCCGUCGCUCAACGGAUAAAAGGUACCUUAGGGAUAACAGGCUGAUCACGCCCAAGAGUUCAUAUCGACGGCGUGGUUUGGCACCUCGAUGUCGGCUCGUCGCAUCCUGGGGCUGGAGAAGGUCCCAAGGGUCCGGCUGUUCGCCGGUUAAAGCGGCACGCGAGCUGGGUUCAGAACGUCGCGAGACAGUUCGGUCCUCUAUCCUCUGUGGGCGUUGGAAAAUUGAGGGGUUCAGACCUUAGUACGAGAGGACCGGGUCUGACGCACCACUGGUGCACCGGUUGUAUUGUCAAAUGCACGGCCGGGUAGCUAAGUGCGGAAGGAAUAAGCGCUGAAAGCAUCUAAGCGCCAAGUCCCUCCCAAGAUGAAUUUUCCCCAUAGGAACGUGGAAGACGACCACGUCGAUAGGUCGCAGGUGGAAGCGCAGCAAUGUGUUGAGCCGAGCGAUACUAAACUCCGAAAGACUUGAUU
This 2827-nucleotide ribosomal RNA is filed under the name human gut metagenome. RNAcentral's name for it is "bacterial LSU rRNA". It matches the Rfam family "Bacterial large subunit ribosomal RNA". The record is from RNAcentral.